This 340-nucleotide long non-coding RNA is filed under the name Setaria italica (foxtail millet). RNAcentral's name for it is "long non-coding RNA (SITA_LNC005494)". The record is from RNAcentral. Lineage: Eukaryota; Viridiplantae; Streptophyta; Magnoliopsida; Poales; Poaceae.
ACCUGGUGCUCCGCCUCCGCGGUGGGGCCAAGAAGCGCAAGAAGAAGACGUACACCAAGCCCAAGAAGAUCAAGCACAAGCACAAGAAGGUGAAGCUCGCCGUGCUGCAGUUUUACAAGGUGGACGACGCCACCGGCAAGGUCACCCGCCUCCGCAAGGAAUGCCCCAACGCCGACUGCGGCGCGGGCACCUUCAUGGCCAACCACUUCGACCGCCACUACUGCGGCAAGUGCGGCCUCACCUACGUCUACAACCAGAAGGCGUAAUCGCUUCGCUUGCAUCGCUUUGCUUAGCUUUACCCGCCUACCUAUCAUGAAUUGAGCUGUUGGUUACCUGAAUU